RNAcentral lists this ribosomal RNA (391 nucleotides) under uncultured bacterium. Its description in RNAcentral is "bacterial SSU rRNA". It matches the Rfam family "Bacterial small subunit ribosomal RNA", at positions 30 to 416 of the family's 1533-position model. The record is from RNAcentral.
AGCGAACGUUUGCGGCGGGCUUAACACAUGCAAGUCGAACGGGCUGUUCCUUCGGGGGCAGUCAGUGGCGCACGGGUGCGUAACACGUAGGUAAUCAACCCUCUGGUUGGGGAUAACACUUCGAAAGGAGUGCUAAUACCCGGUAUGGCGCAGCGGUCUUCGGAUCGCGGCGAGAAAGACCCGCAAGGGUUGCCAGAGGACGAGCCUGCGGCCCAUCAGCUAGUUGGCGAGGUAACGGCUCACCAAGGCGAAGACGGGUAGCUGGUCUGAGAGGAUGAUCAGCCACACUGGAACUGAGACACGGUCCAGACUCCUACGGGAGGCAGCGGUGGGGAAUAUUGCGCAAUGGGCGAAAGCCUGACGCAGCCACGCCGCGUGAGCGAUGAAGGCC